UACGAAGGGGGCUAGCGUUGCUCGGAAUUACUGGGCGUAAAGCGCACGUAGGCGGCUUCUUAAGUCGGUGGUGAAAUCCUGGAGCUCAACUCCAGAACUGCCUUUGAUACUGAAGAUCUUGAGUUCGGGAGAGGUGAGUGGAACUGCGAGUGUAGAGGUGAAAUUCGUAGAUAUUCGCAAGAACACCAGUGGCGAAGGCGGCUCACUGGCCCGAUACUGACGCUGAGGCACGAAAGCGUGGGGAGCAAACAGG
RNAcentral lists this ribosomal RNA (253 nucleotides) under uncultured bacterium. RNAcentral's name for it is "partial 16S ribosomal RNA". It matches the Rfam family "Bacterial small subunit ribosomal RNA", at positions 524 to 776 of the family's 1533-position model. The record is from RNAcentral.